This is a long non-coding RNA of Astyanax mexicanus (Mexican tetra), 1877 nucleotides long. RefSeq lists it as uncharacterized. The record is from RefSeq and is a predicted model, not a curated record. The transcript is spliced from 3 exons. NCBI's taxonomy places the organism in Eukaryota, Metazoa, Chordata, Actinopteri, Characiformes, Acestrorhamphidae.
UCUAGGUAUUUUUUUUUAUGCCGGUGGGAAAACACAGUGGCCCUCUAAGGAACUAAGGUUAGGGGCAAGCUAGCUAAUAUUACAGAGGAGAAAACUAAGGUUAGUGGCGAGCUAGCUAAUAUUACUAAGGAGAGAACUAAGGUUAGCGGCGAGCUAGCUAAUAUUACUGAGGAGAGAACUAAGGUUAGCGGCGAGCUAGCUAAUAUUACUGAGGAGAGAACUAAGGUAAGUGGCGAGCUAGCUAAUAUUACUGAGGAGAGAACUAAGGUUAGCGGCGAGCUAGCUAAUAUUACUGAGGAGAGAACUAAGGUAAGUGGCGAGCUAGCUAAUAUUACUGAGGAGAGAACUAAGGUAAGUGGCGAGCUAGCUAAUAUUACUGAGGCGAGAACUAAGGUAAGUGGCGAGCUAGCUAAUAUUACUGAGGAGAGAACUACGGUUAGCGGCGAGCUAGCUAAUAUUACUGAGGAGAGAACUAAGGUUAGCGGCGAGCUAGCUAAUAUUACUGAGGUGAGAACUAAGGUAAGUGGCGAGCUAGCUAAUAUUACUGAGGAGAGAACUAAGGUUAGCGGCGAGCUAGCUAAUAUUACUGAGGAGAGAACUAAGGUUAGCGGCGAGCUAGCUAAUAUUACUGAGGAGAGAACUAAGGUUAGCGGCGAGCUAGCUAAUAUUACUGAGGAGAGAACUAAGGUUAGCGUGGAGCUAGCUAAUAUAACAAAGCAGAGAACUAAGGUUAGCGAAGAGAGCUAGCUAAUAUUACUGAGGAAAGAACUAAGGUUGGCAACGAGCUAGCUAGUAUUACUGUGGAGAGAACUAAGGUAUUUUUUAAUAUCUCAGUUAGGAGUGUGCCAUAUCAUAUCAUAUGCACAAAAAAUAAUAAUUUUCAUUUUGUUGCUGUAGUGUAUUCUGGAAAUAUUUUUUGUCUUUCUCAGAAUCUGCUCUCUGUAGACCACUUGUUUUUUUCUGUGAAAGUUAACACAUGUACUUCUUGUUUUACCCAGACUGUCGUAGAGGAAGUUGAAUGCUACUGCAUGUCUAUACAGUUUCAGAGCUGGUUUAUGAUCAGUUACCCACAUAUAAUUGCAAUCAUUAGUAUAUAACAUAUUAAAACAUUUUAACUCAUAACAGUAAAACAAGAUUUAGAAUUUUUUAUAGUUUUUGAUUUUGGCAGUGAUGAAACGUUUUCCCGACCGACCCUCUGGUGCAUUUUCCUCUCAUAUCCUCCUCAGCCUUUACCCCAGUCUCUCACCUACUGACCUCUGGCACACCAUAAACAGCGUGGGUUCUUGUUGGCACACACCCACGGGAGUAAUAUGGCCUGUCCACUCUGGCAACCUUCUGAUCACGUUCUCCGUGACACUCUGAGUGUGUGCUGCUCUCCAAACCAUCACUGAUUGGUGGAAACUUCACACUAGACCUCAAGCAGUUUGGACUGUGUGUCUCUCCACUCUUCCUCCAGACUCUGCUCCCUUGAUUUCCAAAUGAAAUAUAAAAUUUACUGAUGAUCAGUGAUGGUUUGGAGAGACAUGUCAUCUGCUGGUGUUGAUCCACUGUGUUUUAUUAUCAAGUCCAUCAAAGAAAAUCUAACAGCACUUCAUGCUUCUCUCUGGGCAGCAGUACAAUAGGCACCACUUUGUUUUCUUUAGUAGACGUAUGUAAAGGUGUUCUCUGAUGGUACCUUUUCACCUAUUUACCUUUAUGGCUGCUGUUAUCAGGCCAUGGUUGGAUUAGUUGAUAAGACAGCCCAGUGUUUUGUAUUGUUUAGCUGAGAACUUUGAUCCCAGUUUAGAUCCACCCUGUGACAGUGAUGAUCGGAGCAGCUUCAGAACGUGUGAUAAAAAAGAGAUAAUCAUAAGAAAGAAAGGAAGAAAACAAGUGAU